UACAAUUCACAGUAGCAUUUUUUUUUUUGAGAGAUAGAUAGCACGCUACCCACUUCGUUUAUUUCAUUUAGAAAUAAACUUAGCUGGAAAUGUGAAUCAAUUAGGAUUCGAACUUGGGUCUCGGGUACCAACCACCAAGCACUUUGCCACUUGCUCUAGGGACGGUAGGUAAUUCCGUUUUAUCAUCUUGUGAAUAUUUAUGACUUACGGCAUUUUUAUACCAUAUUUAACGGCUGGUCUUCAUAAUAAUAUAAAGAGAAAAUCACAUAAUAGUAAAAUAAAACUUUUUUUAAGUUAACUCAUAAGUUGAUU
Molecule: long non-coding RNA, 312 nt
Filed under: Ananas comosus (pineapple)
Lineage: Eukaryota; Viridiplantae; Streptophyta; Magnoliopsida; Poales; Bromeliaceae
Description: long non-coding RNA (ACOM_LNC014768)
Source: RNAcentral